Molecule: ribosomal RNA, 496 nt
Filed under: uncultured bacterium
Lineage: Bacteria
Description: partial 16S ribosomal RNA
Rfam family: Bacterial small subunit ribosomal RNA
Source: RNAcentral
AUGAACGCUGGCGGCGUGCCUAAUACAUGCAAGUCGAGCGAACGGACGAGAAGCUUGCUUCUCUGAUGUUAGCGGCGGACGGGUGAGUAACACGUGGAUAACCUACCUAUAAGACUGGGAUAACUUCGGUAAACCGGAGCUAAUACCGGAUGAUAUUUUGAACCGCAUGGUUCAAAAGUGAAAGACGGUCUUGCUGUCACUUAUAGAUGGAUCCGCGCUGCAUUAGCUAGUUGGUAAGGUAACGGCUUACCAAGGCAACGAUGCAUAGCCGACCUGAGAGGGUGAUCGGCCACACUGGAACUGAGACACGGUCCAGACUCCUACGGGAGGCAGCAGUAGGGAAUCUUCCGCAAUGGGCGAAAGCCUGACGGAGCAACGCCGCGUGAGUGAUGAAGGUCUUCGGAUCGUAAAACUCUGUUAUUAGGGAAGAACAUAUGUGUAAGUAACUGUGCACAUCUUGACGGUACCUAAUCAGAAAGCCACGGCUAACUACGUG